CGCGUAGGUGGUAGUACAAGUCUGAUGUGGAAUCUUAGGGCUUAACCCUAAAACUGCAUUGGAAACUGUAUUACUUGAGUCAGUGAGGGGAGGGUAGAAUUCCUGGUGUAGCGGUGAAAUGCGUAGAUAUCAGGAGGAAGGCCGGUGGCGAAGGCGGCCCUCUGGCGCUGAACUGACACUGAGGCGCGAAAGCGUGGGUAGCAAACAGGAUUAGAUACCCUGGUAGUCCACGCCCUAAACGGUGGGUACUAGGUGUAGGGCUCGUAAGGGUUCUGUGCCGAAGCGAAAGCAUUAAGUACCCCGCCUGGGGAGUACGGCCGCAAGGUUGAA
This 330-nucleotide ribosomal RNA is filed under the name uncultured bacterium. RNAcentral describes it as "bacterial SSU rRNA". It matches the Rfam family "Bacterial small subunit ribosomal RNA", at positions 568 to 898 of the family's 1533-position model. The record is from RNAcentral.